RNAcentral lists this ribosomal RNA (492 nucleotides) under uncultured bacterium. RNAcentral describes it as "partial 16S ribosomal RNA". It matches the Rfam family "Bacterial small subunit ribosomal RNA", at positions 29 to 507 of the family's 1533-position model. The record is from RNAcentral.
AGUGAACGCUGGCGGUAGGCCUAACACAUGCAAGUCGAACGGCAGCACAGUAAGAGCUUGCUCUUACGGGUGGCGAGUGGCGGACGGGUGAGGAAUACAUCGGAAUCUACUUUUUCGUGGGGGAUAACGUAGGGAAACUUACGCUAAUACCGCAUACGACCUACGGGUGAAAGCAGGGGAUCUUCGGCCCUUGCGCGAUUCAAUGAGCCGAUGUCGGAUUAGCUAGUUGGCGGGGUAAAGGCCCACCAAGGCGACGAUCCGUAGCUGGUCUGAGAGGAUGAUCAGCCACACUGGAACUGAGACACGGUCCAGACUCCUACGGGAGGCAGCAGUGGGGAAUAUUGGACAAUGGGCGCAAGCCUGAUCCAGCCAUGCCGCGUGGGUGAAGAAGGCCUUCGGGUUGUAAAGCCCUUUUGUUGGGAAAGAAAAGCAGCAGGUUAAUACCCCGCUGUUCUGACGGUACCCAAAGAAUAAGCACCGGCUAACUUCGUG